AACCGAUUUAAUGUGUCUGGUUUUAUGUUGAGGUCUUUGAUGCACUUGGACUUUAGUUUUGUACAGGGUGAUAAGUAUGGAUCUAUUUGCAUUUUUCUACAUGUAGAUAUCCAGCACCACUUGUUGAAGAUUCUAAUCAAACUGGAAAGGAAGAAGUCAAAGUAUCACUAUUUGCAGAUGACAUGAUAGUAUACAAGAGUGACCCCAAAAAUUCUACCAGGGAACUCUUACACCUUCAGCAAAGUGGCCAGAUACAAAAUUAACUAAAAAAAAAAAAUCAGUAGCCCUCCUGUAUACAAAAGACGAAAGGGCUGAGAAAAAAAUUAAGGAAACAACACCCUUUACAAUAGCCACAAAUGACAUAAAGUACCUUGGUAUAACUCUAACUAAGCAAGUCAAAGACUUGUAUGAAAAACAUUUCAUGUCUCUGAAGAAAGAAUUAGAAGAAGAUAUCAGAAGAUGGAAAGAUCUCUCAUGCUCAAGGCUUGGCAGGAUUAACAUAGUAAAAAUGGCCAUCUUACCAAAAGCAAUCUGCAGAUUCAAUGCAAUUCCCAUCAAAUUACCAACACAAUUCUUUACAGACAUUGAAAGAAAAAUUCUCAACUUCAUAUGGAAUAACAAGAAACCCAGAAUAGCUAAAACAAUCCUCUACAAUAAAAGAUCUUCUGGAGGUAUCUCCAUCCCUGAUCUUAAGCUGUACUAUAGAGCAACAGUAAUAAAAACUGCAAUGUAGUGGCAUAGAAACAGAUUGGUGGAUCAAUGGAACCGAACAGAGGACCCAGAAAUAAACCCACACACUUAUGGACACCUGAUUUUUGACAAAGAUGUCAAAAUCAUUGAUUCUUUGAAUUGUUUUAUUUGUUUCUAAUUUUUUGAUUUAAGCACGAGUUAUUAUUUCGAGCUGUCUACUCCUCUUGGGUGUGUCUGCUUCUCCCCUCGCCACCCAGGGCUUUCAGUUACGACCACAGCAUGAAGAGAAGAACUGAACAUGUUGACUCUUAGAUCAUUUACCUUCUUAUCCUGUGUGGUUUGGCUAGUUUUAUGGAGCAACAGGAAGCAGAAUUGAGAGUGAAUCUGUAAAAGGAGAUUCAUAAAACACGGAGCUAAUCCUAAAACAAGAAUUUUCGUCAAGAUAAUCCAAGGAAACCAUGGGAGCUGGUGUUAAGCAGGGAAAAAGAGCUCUCUGAGCCUUGAGAGGAAGGGUUUGAAGUAUACAUUCCACUUAGAACUGAGUCUUCACAUUGCUCAGCUAUGGGUCUCUGCGUUAAUUACUGUCUGCUACAAGAAGAAUCUUCUGUGGUGAAGAGUGAAUAAAGCUGUGACCUUUAGUCACAAACCAACAUUCUUCUUCUGUCCUAUGGGAGAUGGGAGCAGCUGCUGGGUAGAUGUUGCCAUCCAGUAAAUGCAGGAUAAAGGGCAAUUAGUAAGAACUGUUCUUCGCAAGGAUCCAGGGCUGGUCAAAGCCCCCUGAAACCAGCCUGAGAGUUGUUAAAGGCUGGACCUUCAGGAGGAGGAGCAACAGAACAGAUAAACAGAAGUAACAUACAUACAAGCAUCUGAGAAAAGACAGCAAGCAGCAGUACUUGCCAUCUUGUCUUCCUCCCUCAUUUUGCUAAGUUUGGAGAGACUGGAGAGCAAAGAGACACAGGAACCCACUCAAACCUGAUCUCCACUGCUGGGAAGGAAACUCGACAGCAUCCUUGCUGCUCAUUGCUCCACUGUACCCAUUCUCACUGAGACACACAAAGAUGGUUUCUAACAUUAUACACCCCAAUGGUCGAAAGCCCUUUGCUUGGAGGCCAGCCAUCUGGAAUUCGUGUUUGACUAACUUCUAGGAUGUUUCAAGAUGAUCACACUGUUCCUUUGGAAGAAUAGCCCUGCUUUGCAGUUAUUGUUGAGAUAAUUAGCUGGCUACUACACUAUUCCAAAAAUAACUAAUUUGUGGUCUGGUUCUCUGAGAAAUUCAAUCCAUAGGUUGUAUCUUUUGUAAUAAUUACAAAUGGGCAUUAUCACUUUUGGAAAAUAAAAGAACAUCUAACCAUACUUUUAAAUUCACAUUAUAUAUAAUUUCACAUAUAAAUAUAUUUUCCUCUUUAAAGAGGUUUAAAAGUCAUAUGACUUAUGCCCAGGCACUAGCUUAGCACUUAAUAAAAUCAUUAGGAUGUGCAAAAGGUCAGCACCACAGCAAUAAAGAUUUUCAAAGUGAUGAAAGGCCUUUUCAUGUCUGAGGGUCUGUCUCUUUCAGAAGAACUACACUUGUUGGACAGUUGAUGCUAUCACCCCUCUGUUUGAGAAAUUGUUCACACAACCCCAGUGCUGGAUAGACUCUUCCAUCAAAAGUACUUUAGCCUUCUUAUGCACAUCUAUGUCCAGAGCAUCUGUUACCUCCACACGCACAAGAAAUGGCUCUGGAAUUGUCAUUUUCUUACAAACAUUUGACUCUCAAAUACAGGCACAUGCAUAAAAACAAGGCAAAAAAUACAGCCAGCUCACAUGGCAGUCAUUACUGUAUUCUGAAAAAAGUUGGGAUGACUUACAACCACAUGACUCUAGAAGGUGUAACAUGAUCUAACUCAUUCUCAGUGCACUCCAAAACACAGUAAUGGUGAUUCUAAGCAAUAAGACAGGAGAAAGGCUCAAAAUACAAGACAAAAUCUCAGACUGUAAGUCCCUAACUGGUGACUCUUACCAAUGAAACUGACAACAUAGCUUCCAUUGUUGCCAAAAAGUGGUGUGGAAAUUCCAUGUGUGAUUCAUCCAGGUGGAAACCGCACCUCUGCCCAUGUAUGGGCAGAAUAGGAAAACUGAGAGGAAGUAUUUCAGAGACCUUGGAAAUUAGUCAUUCCAGAAGCUGAAAUAUUUGUAUCUUUAUUUAUUUAUUUUUAAUAUUCCAGGCCAAACCAUGUUGAGCAGUCUUUCCUUUGGAAAAAAAAAAAAAGAAAAGAAAAGAAAAACAUUUUGUACAAUAGUUUUACAGACACUUCACUAUCUUCUCAAUGUUUAUGUGAUCACAAUCUGUUCAGCAGAAAGAUAAAACAUGAGAAAGAGAACAAAAACCUCUUUUGUUUUUGUUUUUAAUUGUUUUGGGGUUUUUUGUUUUUAAUUUUUAAUUUUAUUUUUUCUUCACAUUUUAUUCAGAAUAUAUCCCCAUUGAAGCCCCCUCCCUCAGUUCCUCCCAGUCUCACACUCCCCUUUUCUUCCCUCUAUCCCCUUC
Meriones unguiculatus (Mongolian gerbil) is the source of this 3214-nucleotide long non-coding RNA. RefSeq lists it as uncharacterized. NCBI's taxonomy places the organism in Eukaryota, Metazoa, Chordata, Mammalia, Rodentia, Muridae. The record is from RefSeq and is a predicted model, not a curated record. The transcript has 7 exons.